CGGACGGGUGAGUAACGCGUGGAUAACCUGCCGUAUACAGGGGGAUAACACUUAGAAAUAGGUGCUAAUACCGCAUAAGCGCACGGUUCCGCAUGGAACAGUGUGAAAAACUCCGGUGGUAUGCGAUGGGCCCGCGUCUGAUUAGCUUGUUGGCGGGGCAGCGGCCCACCAAGGCGACGAUCAGUAGCCGGCCUGAGAGGGUGGACGGCCACAUUGGGACUGAGACACGGCCCAGACUCCUACGGGAGGCAGCAG
Molecule: ribosomal RNA, 255 nt
Filed under: uncultured bacterium
Lineage: Bacteria
Description: partial 16S ribosomal RNA
Rfam family: Bacterial small subunit ribosomal RNA
Source: RNAcentral